GUGACUGUGCGUUGCGCCGCGCCAAAGACUUAGCGUCGGUACCACGCCGCCCUGCUGGACACCUUGCCGCGUCCCUCCACCUUGCUGUCAGAGAGACUGCGUCCCCGCAUCACAGGUGAACCCACCUGACUGGUGGGCGGCGUCUCACUCUUAGGGGAGGGUUGUCGCCGAGGUGUGUGAGGGGAGCGUGGCGGCGUGCUGCUGCCUCGGACAGCCGGCAGGGGCGGACCCUUAAUGACAGGUCGAGGAGAAGGUGGGCUGCAGUGGAGGGGUAUUGAAGGGGGGUGGGCGGGGCUGAGGUGUGGCAGAGCUGGAGGUAGCAUUGGAAAUUAUCUGGUCGGAAUAAUAGUACUGGCUGUACUGCACAUCCACCGCCCACAAGGAAAACCUGCGUGGGGGCGGGCUGGGUGGAGCUUUAAUGGGCCCCGUGGGCGUCCUGCAGCGUGCUGGUACCGCGCCAUUCUCAGACUUCUCGGAGGCCUCGGUAGGUUGGGUAUGACCCGGGGGGCGCUCCUGGCGGGAGCUUGAUCUGGAGGGCACAGAGGGCGCAUCCCUGAAGGUAGAGAGGCUGGAGGAACUGCCCCGGAAGCUACUUGUCUGGUCUGGCCAAAUGUCAGAGCUGACCAAGUCCCGCGAGUGAUCGAAUGGACGAAAAUUAGCGGUUCUGACGACGUCCUUGUCCUUUUCUUUCCUGUCGCCUGCCAGGAAACCCGCGAGUCCCUCCGUCAGGGAGAGAAAUCUUUUACGAAGACCACUGCGGCGGCCGCGUUCUGCAGCGGGGGGCGGCGUGACGUGCUGCGCCCCACUCAGCAGAUCCAGGCUGUCGGGGCCGCCGUGACCACGAUUACGACUCCAUAAGGAUCCCGAGGAGCCCCGCCAGUCCAGCCGCCACCCCGAUGACAUAGCGUGCGUGUGGCGUGGGUGUGCGACACUUCCUCAGAUACCGUCACUAGCGCGCUGUCGCUAUCAUGUGUUCACUCUUGUCACAGUUGUCCUCAAGGGUACACGCGCCAACACCUCCAGGCCGCCCAUGGCAAUCACCUGCUCAGCCUCAACACAGCACACGCACACCAUUCACCUUCACCUUCACCUCACGACACCCAUCACGCAGGCUCUUUAACGGACCCUCGUAAGGCAGCGCGGGAUACAACACACAGGCGGUGGAGGUGACGCAGGUACCACGAGCCAACACUAAGCCUGCCCACACCACUGAGUGCCACACACUGAGUGGCACACUGGCCCGCACCCCGACCCGGACCUUACCCGCCACCGCCGCCGCCGCCGCUGUCGCAUGACCGCUAAGGGAGGAGUGCGAUGCUCAGGUAGCGGCAUUUCAGCGACAGAACGAUCGACUUUCUCUCCCGCAUUCUUGAGGAGGGACACCACCUGGGCGUGGGCUGAGGGCCUGGGUGCGCACGCCGUUCACCGCCAGGAUGUAGUCGCCGACGGAGAGGGCGUCUGAGCGGUGGGCGGGGGAGCCAGGCC
Molecule: long non-coding RNA, 1485 nt
Organism: Scylla paramamosain (green mud crab)
Lineage: Eukaryota; Metazoa; Arthropoda; Malacostraca; Decapoda; Portunidae
Exons: 3
Source: RefSeq, a predicted model, not a curated record